Molecule: ribosomal RNA, 467 nt
Filed under: uncultured bacterium
Lineage: Bacteria
Description: partial 16S ribosomal RNA
Rfam family: Bacterial small subunit ribosomal RNA
Source: RNAcentral
GACGAACGCUGGCGGCGUGCUUAACACAUGCAAGUCGAACGGAAAGGCCCUGCUUUUGUGGGGUGCUCGAGUGGCGAACGGGUGAGUAACACGUGAGUAACCUGCCCUUGACUUUGGGAUAACUUCAGGAAACUGGGGCUAAUACCGGAUAGGAGCUCCUGCUGCAUGGUGGGGGUUGGAAAGUUUCGGCGGUUGGGGAUGGACUCGCGGCUUUCAGCUUGUUGGUGGGGUAGUGGCUUACCAAGGCUUUGACGGGUAGCCGGCCUGAGAGGGUGACCGGCCACAUUGGGACUGAGAUACGGCCCAGACUCCCACGGGAGGCAGCAGUGGGGAAUAUUGCACAAUGGGCGGAAGCCUGAUGCAGCAACGCCGCGUGCGGGAUGACGGCCUUCGGGUUGUAAACCGCUUUCGCCUGUGACGAAGCGUGAGUGACGGUAAUGGGUAAAGAAGCACCGGCUAACUACGUG